RNAcentral lists this long non-coding RNA (1023 nucleotides) under Sparus aurata (gilthead seabream). RNAcentral describes it as "lncRNA (ENSSAUG00010005521.1)". Lineage: Eukaryota; Metazoa; Chordata; Actinopteri; Spariformes; Sparidae. The record is from RNAcentral.
GCCUCCUAGAAACAGCCUAAGUUACAGCACACAACAAAAGCCCACAUUUCACCUGCGUGCCUUACUGCUGGGACACCUGUAGCCACGACACCCAUCGCUUAACGCGUUUUUUUUUUUUGGAGGAAGAACGCAUGAUGCGCAAUUACGCACGGGACUAAAGGAAUUCGACGAGCAGCCUGUCUUUUUUGUCACUCCUCCAGGGGAUACGCUGUCCAUAGUUUUGGAGUCCUCUCCAUUUAUAGAGACGAUAUCUAUGCACGACGUCAUCAGCGCAGUUACAGCCUCUCCUCACCUGUCAACUCUGAAGUUCACCGCACAGUCCUCUAUGUGCACAGGACAGGAUGGGAUGCUCCACAAGUUCCCAAACUUCCGCGGUAGAAAGCAAUCCACCCGUCCAUAAACAAGACGAGAGCAACGGAGCCAGCACAACAGGAGCAGCCAAUGAGAAUGGGAAAGUAGCCGAGGACAGCGAAACCAUUCCGGACCAGACACCUGCUCAGGGCGGCGAUGCUAAACCAGCAGACGAACCCGCUGCAGCUGCAACGUCUGCAGACAACACCGCUGCAGCUCCACCUGCAGCUGAGGAUGCUCCGCCUGCUGCAGACAGUCCGCCUGCAGAGGCAGCAGCACCUGUGGAGGCUUCGGCAGCAGCACCUGCAGAGGCUUCGGCGGCAGCUGAAAGCAGCGCAGAGCCUGCAGCUGAAGCUCCUGAGCAAGGUAGGGUGGAGACAUGAGGAGGACUGUGACAGGCCGGGGACAACAGUGAUUUUAUUCAGUACUUUUUACUCCACUACAUUUAUUUUUAAAACAUUAGUUAGAAGUUUAUUUGCAGUUACUUCUUUAAAUCAGCAAAUAAAAUAUGAUAUAUUAUUAUAGGUUAAGCUACACAGCGGUAUAUACAAUGACACGAAUAAGCUCCAACUUUACCAGCUGCAACUUUGAAAUUAUUCAAUGUAAUUCAGUGAUAUACAAGAUCCUCUCAUAAGCAGUACUUUUAUUUUGGGACUUAAAGUAGUUGUUGAC